Molecule: unclassified non-coding RNA, 148 nt
Organism: Macaca mulatta (Rhesus monkey)
Lineage: Eukaryota; Metazoa; Chordata; Mammalia; Primates; Cercopithecidae
Rfam family: Metazoan signal recognition particle RNA
About the family: The signal recognition particle (SRP) is a universally conserved ribonucleoprotein. It is involved in the co-translational targeting of proteins to membranes. The eukaryotic SRP consists of a 300-nucleotide 7S RNA and six proteins: SRPs 72, 68, 54, 19, 14, and 9.
Source: Ensembl
GCCGGGUGCCGUGGCGGGCACCUGUAAUCCCAGCUACUCGGAAGGCUGAGGCAGGAGAAUGGCUUGAACCCAGGAGGCAGAGGUUGCAGUGAGCCAAGAUCACGCCACUGCAUUCCAGCCUGGGCAACAGAGUGAGACUCUGUCUCAA